GGCACCUCGAUGUCGGCUCGGCACAUCCUGGGGCUGGAGAAGGUCCCAAGGGUUGGGCUGUUCGCCCAUUAAAGUGGCACGCGAGCUGGGUUCAGAACGUCGCGAGACAGUUCGGUCUCUAUCUAUUGCGGGCGUUAGAAAUUUGAAGGGAGCUGACUUUAGUACGAGAGGACCGAGUCGGACAAACCUCUAGUGUACCUGUUGUGGCGCCAGCUGCAUCGCAGGGUAGCUACGUUUGGAUGAGAUAAGCGCUGAAAGCAUAUAAGCGCGAAACUCACCCUAAGAUGAGAUUUCUUUUAAGGGUCGUUCGAGACUAGGACGUUGAUAGGC
This 330-nucleotide ribosomal RNA is filed under the name uncultured eukaryote. RNAcentral's name for it is "partial Bacterial large subunit ribosomal RNA". It matches the Rfam family "Bacterial large subunit ribosomal RNA", at positions 2520 to 2861 of the family's 2925-position model. The record is from RNAcentral.